AUCGCUAUCCGGUGCAUCCCUACUCCGGUCGGGCUGACCCCUGCGAGUAUCUCAAAUGUAGAUACCUCGGGCGCGUAAUUUUUGGGAGUCGGGACUGCGUUCGCGCUGUCCCGG
RNAcentral lists this small nuclear RNA (114 nucleotides) under Bemisia tabaci. RNAcentral describes it as "U1 spliceosomal RNA". Lineage: Eukaryota; Metazoa; Arthropoda; Insecta; Hemiptera; Aleyrodidae. The record is from RNAcentral.